Molecule: long non-coding RNA, 603 nt
Organism: Gossypium raimondii (Peruvian cotton)
Lineage: Eukaryota; Viridiplantae; Streptophyta; Magnoliopsida; Malvales; Malvaceae
Exons: 2
Source: RefSeq, a predicted model, not a curated record
GUUUGGUUCACAUGAAUGGCUUACCUAUUCCUCCCUUAUUCAAACUUUGUCUUCUUACUUUCUCUUUACCCUCACCAUUCUCCCAAUAUACCUAUGUAGAACGUUUGGAGUGAGCAAGAAGAGGGGUUUGAAAGAACAACAGCAGUAACCAUGGCAAAGAAGAUCAACGUAACAAAGAAAGCCUUGAUUCCAGGUUGCUUAAAGGUCGCAGUAUUCCUGGUAAAAUAUUAUUGACCAGAAGGUCAGAUAUACUUGAUGAUUCAGGUUCACAAGAAUGAUCUCCCAGUUAUCAAAGAAGCUUAUCACAGAAUGAUAAUGGUACAAGUGAUGACGUGGACAAAUCUGUGGAGGUGACGUUUAGAGUGACUAUAGUAUCUUUCAUGUAUUCUAUUACAAAAAUACGGAAAAAAUGAUUUAGCCUUGUACUAUGUGACUUUGGACUUCUUUAAAAGUCCAUGAUUUAAGUAACUGAAAAACAUUCCUUUCAUUUAAGGAGAGGUCAGAAAUACAAAUAGUUCUGAUGGUAAUACAACUGUUAAUAAGUUAACAUCUUCAACCUCAAAGAAUGAGGUUUUUUAAUGUAAAGUGAUGAUCUUUUGUUAA